GACCAAAAGACUAAGUUAUAUUAAAUAGGUUAAAAGAUAGUUAAGUGUAGAAAAAAGGUUUAAUAACUUUCUAUAAAAAGGUAAAAUUUGAAUAUAAGUAAAGUGAUUUUUUUAAGACUAAAAUACUGAAGCUAUGAUAAUUUUGAGGGAAACUGGGAUUAGAUACCCCAUUAUUCAUAAUUGUAAAUGGAUGUUAAUUUACCAGAGUACUAUGAAUAUCUAAAAUUUAAAACUCAAAGAGCUUGGCGGUGUUUUAGACCAAUUAGGGGAACCUGUCUCAUAAUCGACAGUCCACGUAAUAUCUAGCCUUUUUUAGUAAAUCAGUUUGUAUACCGUCGUCGUCAGGUAACUUUUAAAAAUUUAGAAGUUGGCAAUGAUAAUAUUGUUGGUUAAGACGUCAGAUCAAGGUGCAGCUCAUGAAAAGGGGAGGAUGGGUUACAAUUAUAUAAUUAUAACUACGGAUAGUUUAAUGAAAGAAGCUUUAAGGAGGACUUAAAAGUAAUAUUGUAAUAUAUAAAUAAUUUGAAUUAGGCUCUGAAACGUGC
RNAcentral lists this ribosomal RNA (545 nucleotides) under Nitidella nitida. Its description in RNAcentral is "partial small subunit ribosomal RNA". The record is from RNAcentral. Lineage: Eukaryota; Metazoa; Mollusca; Gastropoda; Neogastropoda; Columbellidae.